This is a long non-coding RNA of Pan paniscus (pygmy chimpanzee), 290 nucleotides long. NCBI's taxonomy places the organism in Eukaryota, Metazoa, Chordata, Mammalia, Primates, Hominidae. The record is from Ensembl.
CCAGGAUAUAGAGAGGAAGUGGGAAGUUUCCCUGGACUCAGCAGAAAUUUGGUGUCAGAAGCAGAAAUAGCCCCUUAUUUAAUGACAUCACCUUGGCCAAGAUUCAGGAAUUCAGAACUCUAAGUUACCCUGAACUAUCUAAAAACGAAAAUGGAAAGAUAAUUCUGCUUCAUGUCUGGUGUACUCCAACUGCGGAUAAGGGUACGUAGAGAAUGUCUAUUAUUUUGAGUAGUUGAGUUAAAAAUAAAACUCCUAACACCAGUGAGGAAAUUGGAUUCCACAUUCUCUUA